This is a non-coding RNA of Vicia faba (fava bean), 339 nucleotides long. The record is from the annotation of a GenBank genome assembly. Lineage: Eukaryota; Viridiplantae; Streptophyta; Magnoliopsida; Fabales; Fabaceae.
AUGGCAGAAGAAAAAGAAAUAAACUCUUAUCUUAGGAUGAAGGUCAGCGGAACCGGAAGGGAUAGAGUGCAACACGGCGUCUAUGGAGGUUUUCACAGCGGGUUCUAUAUGCAGAUCACGGCUACUUCGUGGGCUGGACGACCAGAUCUGAACGACGAGUUUAGGAGUGGGAGGAAACUGGCGGUUCUGACGGCGGGAGACACAUCGUCGAUUUUGAACUUGUGUGGUGAUGCUGCUCUGUCUGGCGUUGAUGGAAGAGUAGUCACAGUGUACGUUUCUGGCAGCACGAUCAAAGUUGGAGAUGGAAGCCUGGGGCGGACGCAUGGGCGCUGCGUGUGA